UUAAUAAAAACCAAAAUAGAGGUAUCUUAAUGUUAAUAAGAAAAAUGGUACUAAUCCUUAUUAAA
RNAcentral lists this transfer RNA (65 nucleotides) under Oligolophus tienmushanensis. RNAcentral describes it as "tRNA-Asn". The record is from RNAcentral. Lineage: Eukaryota; Metazoa; Arthropoda; Arachnida; Opiliones; Phalangiidae.